RNAcentral lists this ribosomal RNA (375 nucleotides) under uncultured bacterium. RNAcentral's name for it is "bacterial SSU rRNA". It matches the Rfam family "Bacterial small subunit ribosomal RNA", at positions 521 to 896 of the family's 1533-position model. The record is from RNAcentral.
UAAUACGUAGGCAGCUAGCGUUGUUCGGAAUUACUGGGCGUAAAGCGAGUGUAGGCGGUUUGCCAAGUCCGUUGUGAAAUCUCCCGGCUCAACUGGGAGGGUGCGGCGGAAACUGGCAGGCUAGAGUACGGAAUGGGAGAGUGGAAUUCCUGGUGUAGCGGUGAAAUGCGUAGAUAUCAGGAGGAACACCGGUGGUGAAGACGGCUCUCUGGACCGUUACUGACGCUGAGACUCGAAAGCGUGGGGAGCAAACAGGAUUAGAUACCCUGGUAGUCCACGCCCUAAACGAUGCAUACUUGGUGUGGGCUCUUCACUGAGUCCGUGCCGGAGCUAACGCGUUAAGUAUGCCGCCUGGGGAGUACGGUCGCAAGGCUG